Molecule: non-coding RNA, 107 nt
Organism: Gossypium arboreum
Lineage: Eukaryota; Viridiplantae; Streptophyta; Magnoliopsida; Malvales; Malvaceae
Source: Rfam
AACCCAUGGUGAGGACACCUUCUCAGUAAGUCCUUGUAUCUCUCCCAUGCAUCGUCGAGGGUCUCUAAAUCCAUCUGCACAAAAGAAGAGAUGUUAGUACGUAAUUU